RNAcentral lists this ribosomal RNA (510 nucleotides) under uncultured bacterium. RNAcentral's name for it is "bacterial SSU rRNA". It matches the Rfam family "Bacterial small subunit ribosomal RNA", at positions 29 to 527 of the family's 1533-position model. The record is from RNAcentral.
AGUGAACGCUGGCGGCAGGCCUAAUACAUGCAAGUCGAACGGCAGCACAGUGGAGCUUGCUCCAUGGGUGGCGAGUGGCGGACGGGUGAGGAAUACGUGGGAAUCUGCCCAGUCGUGGGGGAUAACGUAGGGAAACUUACGCUAAUACCGCAUGCGCCCUUCGGGGGAAAGCCGGGGACCUUCGGGCCUGGCGCGAUUGGAUGAGCCCACGUCGGAUUAGCUAGUUGGCGGGGUAACGGCCCACCAAGGCGACGAUCCGUAGCUGGUCUGAGAGGAUGAUCAGCCACACUGGAACUGAGACACGGUCCAGACUCCUACGGGAGGCAGCAGUAGGGAAUAUUGGACAAUGGGCGCAAGCCUGAUCCAGCCAUGCCGCGUGAGUGAAGAAGGCCCUCGGGUUGUAAAGCUCUUUUGUCCGGAAAGAAAAGCAUUCGGUUAAUACCCGGGUGUUCUGACGGUACCGGAAGAAUAAGCACCGGCUAACUUCGUGCCAGCAGCCGCGGUAAAGUA